GUUAUUGGCUCACCUUCCCUUGGUUCUUAUGUUGAAUCUCAUGAGCAAAAAAAGAGCUCUUUGGCUUUUACACACUAAAUCUGGUUCUUGGACUCUCUCUCUCUCUCUCUGUCUCUCUUUCUCUACCUGUGCAUCUCAGUCUGUCAGCCUCUCUCUCUCCCUCAUACUCUAGGCUGCCCCUAAUCUUAUCCACUCUCUUCUCUUCCUCUUCAGCUUUCUGGGAUCUUGCAUUGGCAUGCCUUCAAUCACCAAGCAUUAUUAGGCACUUACUAGGUGCCAGGCUGUGCUCUGGGAGAGAUGCUGCAUCAUGACUAAACCUAAGGUCCCUUCCCUGAGGUGCCUACACCUGGAGCAAACAUUGCUUGUGUUUACACUUCUUAAACUGACAAUGAUGGCCAAGCUCACCAACACUCACUAAGGGCGCCCACACCUCCUCUUAACCUGUUAACAUAUGGCCACUCUAUAAUCUAUAAAAUAUGAGGUAGCAUUAUAUUAAAAAGGUGUUGUGUUGUUUCUAUAUUAAUUAGAAAAUAUCCAGGCAAAGAUUAUACAUUAAUUAGCUCAAUUUAAUAUCAGCCAAAUAACUUAAAGAUAAUGAUUGAUCUUAAAAUACUAAUUUAGGUGACACAUAACAAAGAAAUGCAUGUUGGAAUCAUAUAUUAGAUGAUACCUAAAAACAUUUAUCCAAAAAUUGUAAGUGGAAUAACUGAGCUACCAUAAUUUCUAGAAUUUUAAGAUUUAAUCUCCAUUUAAAAGAUAUUAUACAGCAUGCUUCAUUUACUUGAACACAUAACUUUAAAUUUUAUAAACUUAAAUAUUUAUUGGAAUUAAAGUUUGUUUAUUUGAUCAGUAAAACCAGCAUAGGAGAUUUAGGCAGUAUCAGGAUUGAUGCGGGGUCGGUGAGCCGAGGAGUCGAAAGAAAGAUUUCUUAGACUCUCAAGAUCUGGCAGUAGUGCUCUUUUAUUUAGAGAAUAGUAUAGAAUAGCAUGGGGACAGGACCCAUGGGCAGGCAGAGCUGGUGUGUGGGGACAGGACCCAUGGGCAGUCAGAGCUCCUGCUGCUGCCCCGAGUUGAGGGUUAGGGCUAAAUUUAAGGCAUAGGUAUAUGAUUCAUCUCUUUACAAGACAAAGGAAAGAACAUGAAAAAACGUUAAAAUGGUAUCAGUGCAG
RNAcentral lists this long non-coding RNA (1169 nucleotides) under Equus caballus (horse). RNAcentral's name for it is "lncRNA (ENSECAG00000059091.1)". The record is from RNAcentral. Lineage: Eukaryota; Metazoa; Chordata; Mammalia; Perissodactyla; Equidae.